AUUGAACGCUGGCGGCAUGCCUUACACAUGCAAGUCGAACGGCAGCACGGGAGCAAUCCUGGUGGCGAGUGGCGAACGGGUGAGUAAUAUAUCGGAACGUGCCCAGUCGUGGGGGAUAACGCAGCGAAAGCUGUGCUAAUACCGCAUACGAUCUAUGGAUGAAAGCGGGGGAUCGCAAGACCUCGCGCGAUUGGAGCGGCCGAUAUCAGAUUAGGUAGUUGGUGGGGUAAAGGCUCACCAAGGCGACGAUCCGUAGCGGGUCUGAGAGGAUGAUCCGCCACACUGGGACUGAGACACGGCCCAGACUCCUACGGGAGGCAGCAGUGGGGAAUUUUGGACAAUGGGCGCAAGCCUGAUCCAGCCAUGCCGCGUGAGUGAAGAAGG
Molecule: ribosomal RNA, 384 nt
Filed under: uncultured bacterium
Lineage: Bacteria
Description: bacterial SSU rRNA
Rfam family: Bacterial small subunit ribosomal RNA
Source: RNAcentral